This 73-nucleotide transfer RNA is filed under the name Trichonephila inaurata madagascariensis. RNAcentral's name for it is "tRNA-Cys". It matches the Rfam family "tRNA". Rfam says of the family: Transfer RNA (tRNA) molecules are approximately 80 nucleotides in length. Their secondary structure includes four short double-helical elements and three loops (D, anti-codon, and T loops). Further hydrogen bonds mediate the characteristic L-shaped molecular structure. tRNAs have two regions of fundamental functional importance: the anti-codon, which is responsible for specific mRNA codon recognition, and the 3' end, to which the tRNAs corresponding amino acid is attached (by aminoacyl-tRNA synthetases). tRNAs cope with the degeneracy of the genetic code in two manners: having more than one tRNA (with a specific anti-codon) for a particular amino acid; and 'wobble' base-pairing, i.e. permitting non-standard base-pairing at the 3rd anti-codon position. Lineage: Eukaryota; Metazoa; Arthropoda; Arachnida; Araneae; Nephilidae. The record is from RNAcentral.
GGGGUGUAUAGCUCAGUGGUAGAGCAUUUGACUGCAGAUCAAGAGAUCUCCGGUUCAAAACCGGGUGCCACCU